This is a long non-coding RNA of Canis lupus familiaris (dog), 561 nucleotides long. RefSeq lists it as uncharacterized. Lineage: Eukaryota; Metazoa; Chordata; Mammalia; Carnivora; Canidae. The transcript has 4 exons. The record is from RefSeq and is a predicted model, not a curated record.
GAGAAAAGAAGUAUGGCUUUGGGCAUUUGGAGAUCAGGAUGAAAAAAUAGAAUGAGCAGGUGGCUAAUUCACAGCUGAGUUAAUCAAAGAUUUUAGAAUUAUUAUUUUAGGAACUUCUGUCAAUUCAAAAUGUACUAAGGAUCUAUAGUUACAGUUUCUCAAUGUGCCACAUGUGCUGGAAUUCAACUGUCUGGAUGUACCACAAUUGAUUUAUCCAUUUUCCUACCGAAGGACAUUUUGGCUGCUACCAAGUACCGACAGCAAAUCUGCUGUAAACACCUGCGUGCAUGUUUUUGUGUAGACCACAGUAGAUAACAUCUAAUGAGUGACCAGGUGGGGUCAUCAUGAACAUUUUCCAAGACCACUGAUUCAUCAAGACCCCUGGUUCCAGAGCAUAAGUGACUUAUGCAAGACACCUAAAUGCUGCUCUUGUUCCUGGAUUACCAAGAAGACACAUGUUCCAGACCAGUGACCUCAAUAAAAACUCCAGGCUCCAAGGAAAGAUGAGACUCACUAUCUUUUCCUUUCUGAGUCUCCUAGAUGCUCUGUCUGUGUCUACAU